UCCUUCCUCCUCUCUUUUGACAGCGUCUCCCUCUUUCACCUCCACUGGAGUGUAGUGGUAUAGCUACAGCUCACUGCAGCCUUGACUUCCUGGCCUCAAGCCUUCCUCUUACCUCAGCCUCUAGAGCAGGUAAGACUACAGGCUUAAAGACCCUCCAGACACCAUGACUUUCCUUUUAUCACUGAGGUCUUAACUUCAAUGCUACCUCAUCAGGCCCAUGCUCAUGAUCAUAUUUCGGUAAUUGGAACACAGCCAUUCCAAGGCUUUUAGCAGUUUCUUGUACAUUAAUCAUCUUGUUCCUGUGUUCUCUUUAGGAGAAGCGGAACACCACAUCAGCAGUCUGACCACCCUGAGACUUCCAUGCUAUGAGGAAAUCCAAAAUAGCCAUUUAAAAUGUGAAGACAGUAUAUUUUUUAAAGAAAGCAAUACUGGCUAACUGUCAGUUGUUUUGACAUCCAAGUCUAGACACUAGCUAUGAAUGUGAAGAAGCCAUUCUGGACAUUCCAGACCCAGCAGAUGCCACAUGGAACAGUACUGAGGUCCAAAACACAUGGUUUUCCACCAUAUCCUGACAAUUGAACUACCCUGGCUGAAGCCCAGACAUCAUGGCACAAAGACAAGCUGUCAUCACUGAACCCUGACAAAGUUCUUGACCCACAGAAUUGUAAGCCUAAUAAAAGUGGAUUUUUAAAAAAAU
This 697-nucleotide long non-coding RNA is filed under the name Homo sapiens (human). Its description in RNAcentral is "HSALNT0191608". Lineage: Eukaryota; Metazoa; Chordata; Mammalia; Primates; Hominidae. The record is from RNAcentral.